UAUAAACGGCACAAUACAAUCAUUUUUACGUAAAUUGAGUGUAAAUACAGAAUAAACGAAUUAUAUCAAAGAUGGGACGAAUAAGCUGAAACAUUCCUCUGACACAGCUUAUAAUUUAUUGUCAUUUUUUCUUUGGUUGCUACUUUGACAGUUUUUUGUUAACAAAAAGUUAAUGUUUUAGAAUAAAAGUAUAUGUUCUUAGUGAAGGAAGAUAGAAGUAUCGAAAUAUAAUAUUCACACAUGAAAAUAUUCAUAUAUUUCGAUAUUAGAAAUCUAUAUUUUUUUGAUGUUUGAAAUAAUGUCAUGACAAAAAUAUUUUAGAUGUAGGAAAUACGGAUCAUAAACAUUUCUUUCUGUCAAGUAAAUUAGAAAUUAAAUAAUUUAAUUUAGGAAAAUUCAAUUGCGAUUGUCUCAGGUGAAAUGUAGAGUUUACAAGUAGGCCUAUGCUUUUUAUGUGAAAGUAUCUGCAUUUACAAAUUAACAGAAUUUCCAGUUUUUAUACACAUUAUUAUGUUACAAUCUACGAAACUGUGUUUAAUACAUAAUACAUACUACAAAAAGGGUAAUAAAGGAACGUCAGUCAUUGUAAAUAAUGUAUUAUUGAAAGUUUUAUUGAUACAAAUAAUUAGUUUUAUCAGGAAACAUUUCUCCAGAAGAAAAUUGUCGAUAUUUCACGUAAAUAUAAGUAAAUUUUAUUAUAAUUUAGAUAAAAACACAUUUUACUUUUUACCACACAUGGCUUCCCCCCAUCUUACUCUUAAAACAUUCCAUUUCAUAAAGCUCUGUAUUCCCAAUGCAAAUGAGCCCCUUCAGUCAUCUUAAUUCAGGGGCUUAUUUGCAUAAAGAUUUGUAUUCACAAUGCAAAUGAGCCCCUGAAUUAAGCUUAAUUAAGGGACUCAUUUGCAUAACGUGUCGAGGGCAGCGACAGUAUGUAAAGCCGUUGCUGAAAUGCUGCAUUAAUUCAUUCAUCAUGCUGAAGGCAAUCAGUAACGAUAUUCGUUUGUUGAUCAUAUGCUAUCAUGAAGAAGGAUGCAGUUACCAAAAAAUUGCUGAUAUGCUGAGUGUGUCGACAUGAGCUGUGUCGCGCAUCCUUAAGAUGUACCGAGACAAAGGUGCUGUGUCGCUGGAAAAGGCGAAGGGGCAACAGCGAGGGACGGCGGCGGAGGAUGAUGCCCAUUUAAAGGCCACUAGUGAGGCCUGGCCUUUUUCCACUGCGUCCAUGUUGAAGAAGGAAUUAAACCUUAGUAUAUCUGUAGAUACGAAGCUAUUAUAAAAGCCGCAAAAAUCGCUAUUCCCAAUGGACAAAACGUAAAACAACAACAAAGAUGGUGGAAUGAUGAACUUGAAGAGAUCAAGUCCAAAACAUACAGAGCAAGACGUAGUUAUCAACGUGAACACGACCCAGACAUAAGGGUAGAGUUUAGAUCUGAAUAUUAUCGAUGUAAAAGACAAUUCAGAAAAGCCAUAUUAGAGGCUAAACAAAAGAGCUGGAGGAACUUUGUGACAGAUACAGGCCAGACUAACCCAUGAGGUCUACCAUACAAAAUAAACACAGGGAAGAUCAGAAAAGCCCAAAUACUCGGACCAAUAAGACUAGGAUCUACCGAGGCAAUUAACUGCAGGCAAGCCGCUUCAAACAUCAUGGACUCCCUCUUCAAACAAGACAAUCUGGAAGAGGAUUCGCCUGAACAACAAGAUGUCAGAAGAAAAGUUGAGAGAUACAGAGGAGAAACGGUUAGUCCCCCAUUUGAGGAGUCUGAGCUUAGAUGCAUAGUGGCAAGAAUGAAAAGGGGCAAAGCCCCAGGAAUUGAUGGAAUUAAUCAAACUAUAUUAGAUGCGGCCUAUGAACACAUAGAAGGCGAGUUAAUCAAAGGCUACAACGCCUGCCUAAGAUAUGGGGUUUUCCCUGAAGACUUGAAGAAAGGACGUUUAAUAACUAUUUUCAAACCUGGUAACAGAAAGAAGUGACCCCAAGUCUUAUCGAUCUGUCUUCUCCCACUUCUGGGGAAGGCUUUAGAUAGAAGGACUCAUACGGAUCCGGUUAAAUAAGGAUAUGCAGGAUAACACUGAAAGUAACCAAUAUGGCUUCAGGAUGGGUUGCUCCACCACGGAUGCGAUACUUAAACUAAGAACCAUGAUUGAGAACUCAACAGGGAAAUAUGUUGUGGGAAUUUUCGUUGAUAUAGUCGGAGCCUUCGACCACUUGUGGUGGCCGAACAUCUUGGAAGAAUUGGCGCAACAUAAGUGUCCUAGGAACUUAUACUGGCUCAUCAGGGACUAUCUCCACAACAGGAGUGCUGCAAUUAUAGACGACAAUGUGUGCACUACAAAGCAACUCUACCGUGGGUGCCCUCAGGGCUCCAUCUUGGGGCCGGACAUGUGGAAUUUAGUUUUCGACUCAAACCUCAGAAUGCUAAAUGAAUUGAAGUUCAUGACAAUUGCCUACGCAGAUGAUGAGGCGGUUGUACUAGAAGGAAAUAGCAGGCGAGAAAUUGAAGCAAAAGGCGAGAUUUUAAUGACAAACCUGGAAAAGUGGGCCACUGCCCACAAGUUAAGAUUCUCAACUGAGAAAACUAUAAUGGUAAUGAUGAAAGGAAACUUAAGUGAAGAAAGACUGCCUACAAUUAAACUUUAUGGCCAGUCAAUCAAAAUGAAAAAGACAGUCAAAUAUCUCGGCCUAACCAUAGGCAAGAACUUCAACAUAAUAGAACAUGUAAAGGAUAUUCCAAGCAAGGCCGCCAACUAUUUUAAUUGCCUCAGACGCAUCGCAAAGGCUGAAUGGGGCUUCAACUAUCGAGCAAUGAUAACUAUUUACAUAGGGCUCUUCAUACCAAUUAUCACCUAUGCGGCGGCCGCUUGGGCAGACACGACUACUGCAAUAAGUAAAAGAAAGCUCGUCAGUGCCCAACGUACAGCCCUACUAAGGUAACUCAAGGGGUACAGAACAUGCUCUGCUGCGGCAUUACAGGUGAUUGCCAAUGCUCUGCCUAUCGAGCUUGAGGUUUUGAGGGCAUAUGCCAGAUAUAACAUAAGGAAAGGCAAAGGAUUCUCUAUUAAAGACCAAGAGUUCAGUGAAGCAACCACAGAUGAAGCAAGAAGAGACAGAAGACAAGAAGUAGAAGAAUAUCUAAAAGAAACAUGGCAAAGGGAUUGGAACAAUAUAGACAAAGGACGUCAAACAUAUCAAUAUAUCAACAAAGUAAAUGAACGACAAAGAAUGAAAUGGCUACGGAGUGACUUCUACACAACCCAGUUUCUGACAGGUCACAGAGACUUUAAGGAAAAAUUACAAAGCUUUGGAUUGGAAACACUUCUGAAUGUGAGUGCGGAGAAAUCGACAGUGCGGAACAUGUGCUCUUUCAAUGUGUAAUCUUCAAUGAAGAAAGAAGAGGCUCGGACUUCUUGAUGGAACUUUACAUGAAGAAUGAGGUGACAGAUGAAGAUAGACAGAAGAUGAUGGAAAAACGCAACUUCCAGCAGGUUAAAACAGUUAUGAGGAAUAUCUUGAGGAAAAGAAACAAGAUAAGAAGAGAACUAAACUAACACACGAACUAAAGUACACCCAUGACAUCCGGAAAGAUAAGAAGAACAAUAAUUGUAGAUAAGGAGGCAGAAAGAAAAGAGGAUGACCGCUGGUAUAUCUUGGGCAGGGUACAGCGGGGGAGGCUGGAGGGUGUUCUCCUGGGUAUAUCUGUAGAUACGGUAAAACAGAGGUAUGUAACAUUUGUAGUAUAAUAUUACAACCUUCCAAUGAAAUGUAUUUCUGGCAGUUCAUUAUAUCGAUAGAAAUAUAACUUUAUUAACAUGUUCUUGCAUAUACAGAAAUGUAGGAAGCAGGAUAAUAUAUAUGAUUUUUACUCUAUUCAUAGGUUGCCACAGUUUGAAGUAUACGGAAGGAGGGCAGCCAUAAAACAGUGGCUCACAGUCGGCAACCAAUUUGAUCGGCUGGGGUUCGCCCAAACUUAUUCCAGUUGGGGAGUGGCUGACCGGGCCAAGGUCAUCUUUACCGACGAGAAGGUAUUCUGCUCGUCGAGCUGCGGGACCAAGUGGGUGCGUCGCAAACCCUAACCCUGCACCCGGUUUGACUCGGAGCACGUGUGGUGCACCCAAAGAAGCGGUCGCUUUUCCUUAGGUAUUUGGGGAUGGAUGACAGCGGCAGGUCCCGGGGAGUUGGUGCGUAUAGACAGUCACCUCACCGCCGUGCAAUACAUCGAGAUACUCGAAGAGGUAUUGUUGCCGACGGUGAGGGCCAUCUAUGGUGAAGAGCCAAUUCACUUUGUACACGUUCGCUCCCCGGUGCACACGGCCAGAGUAACACAGCAGUGGCUGCAGGAGAAUCCACAGCUCUUAGAUAUGGGAUGGCCGGGGAGAGGGGCAGACCUAAAUCCUAUUGAAAACCUUUGGUCUCAGCUCACCGACGACCCCAUUCAGAUGGCGACUCCGAACGAGCUCUGGGAAAUCGUCAGAGAUUGUUGGGAGAAGCCAUGAUGGCAUACUAUGCGACAAUUUUGUGGCAAGUAUGCCCAAGCGACUGAAUGCGGUCGUCAACAGGCUCAGAAAGUGGACUAAGUACUGACCCUCUCCCCUUCAUCUGCGAUGUCUUAACAGACUAAGAAGAAGAAUGUCUUGUAAAUAUACUUUGUAAAAAAUAGUCUUGUAAAUAAAUAUUUUUUUUUUAUUUUCGGA
Molecule: long non-coding RNA, 4686 nt
Filed under: Centruroides sculpturatus (bark scorpion)
Lineage: Eukaryota; Metazoa; Arthropoda; Arachnida; Scorpiones; Buthidae
Description: uncharacterized LOC111633442
Source: RNAcentral